RNA transcript from Mus musculus (house mouse), 2266 nucleotides. It is a transcript of the gene named cDNA sequence BC023105, with no coding region annotated. Lineage: Eukaryota; Metazoa; Chordata; Mammalia; Rodentia; Muridae. The record is from RefSeq and is marked validated. The transcript is spliced from 3 exons.
ACAGAUAAAGCAGGGAUUUAAUAGGUAAGAAGGCAUUCAGGACCAUGCCCAGACAAUGGAAAUCCUCAGCUUGAAAGCUAGAGGGGCUUUGGUGGGAGCUGAGCAGAACUGGCUUUACAUGGAUACAGCCUAUCAUUCAAGUUGAGGGCCUUUUUUGCUACAAUCAUGGGUCAGCUCUUCUCUAAUAUGCCUAAGGAUGAAGACAAAGGAAUUUUGGAGUCCAGCUUCACUGAAUAUUUUAGGAAUUAUAAGCAAGAAACCAAAAUCAUUUCUGAGGAAACCACCCGUUCAAUAGAGUUAUGCCUGAAGAAGGGGGACAUUCAAAGGGCAAACUCUAUAAUCAGUGAUGCAUUAAAAAAUAUUGAUAAUGCCCCAAUAAAUAUUGCAGUGACAGGAGAGUCUGGAGCAGGGAAGUCCAGCCUCAUCAAUGCCUUGAGAGAGAUUAAAGCCGAAGAGGAAAGUGCAGCUGAAGUCGGGGUGACAGAGACAACCAUGAAGGUGUAUUCAUACAAACACCCCAAAGUUAAAAAUUUGACAUUAUGGGACCUGCCUGGUAUUGGAACUAAGAAAUUUCCACCGAAAACUUAUCUAGAAACAGUAGAAUUCAAAAAGUAUGACUUCUUCAUUAUUGUUUCUGCCACACGAUUUACAAACCAUGAAAUAGAACUUGCCAAAGCAAUCAGAAUUAUGAAAAAGAAUUACUACUUCGUGAGAAGCAAGGUGGACUUUGAUCUAUACAAUGAAGAGAAAUCCAAACCACGUAACUUUAACAGAGAAAAACACUCUGAAUCAGAUCCGAAAUUCCUAUCUGGAUACAUUUAGGGAGAGUAAAAUUGAUGAACCUCAGGUUUUCUUGAUCUCUAACCACGAUUUAUCUGACUAUGAUUUUCCAGUCCUGAUGGACACCCUGCUUAAGGACCUUCCUGCUGAAAAGCGCCACAACUUUCUGCUUUCCUUGCCUAAUAUAACUGAGGCAGCCAUUCAAAAAAAGUACAACUCUACUAAGCAGUUUAUCUGGUUGCAGGCCAUGAAGGAUGGACUUUUGGCGACUGUUCCUGUAGUGGGCAUUUUAAAGGACUUGGAUAAGGAGAGGUUGAAGAGGAGUUUAGACUACUAUCGUGACCUCUUUGGAAUCGAUGAUGAAUCCUUAAUGUUCAUAGCUAAGGAUGCCCAAGUGCCUGUCGAACUGCUGAAAAUAAAACUUAAAUCUCCUUAUUUGUUGGAACUUGAGGAGGAAACAUUAGGAGGAUUGAUUUUGAACUGUGUGGAGAAAUUUGCCUCAGCUAAUGGUGGGCUCCUGGCAGCAGGUCUUUACUUCAGGAAAACCUAUUACCUACAGUUUCAUUUCCUUGAAACGGUGGCUGAAGAUGCCAAAGUUCUCCUUAAAGAGGCAUAUUCAAAAAAAUAGCUCAAACUCAUUUUGCUGAUAGCUUCUGACAAUUACAAGACCAACUCGUUAAUACCAGGGAAUCAUUAGAUAAAUUCCCAUUCUGACAUCUUUUCGUUAUACUAGUCGAUCUACUGUAUCUAUGGAAGAAACCCCUAAGGAAUAGGGUCACAGGUUAAUACUAUGUCAGAACCUGACAAUCUCCAAUCCCUCUUCAACUGUUUAUAUUCCCUAAGACCUUUUUCUCUGUCUUUGAACUCCACAUACAUGCUUGAACACAAAUACAGAGAGAGAGAGAGUGAGAGAGAGAGAGAGAGAGAGAGAGAGAGAGAGAGAGCACACACCACAUAUACACAAACAUACAUACAGCACACCACAUAAACACAAACACACACGUUCACACACACACAAAUGCUGAGUUCGGUGUCACCACUACACUUCCUUAAAAUAAUUUUCUAUUGUAACCUCGACCUCUCUAGAACUUGUGGACAAUUAUUCCUUUUUAUUCUGUGCAUCCUGCUCUGAUGUGCUCAUUGCAUUUCACAAGGUACACACACACACACACACACACACACCUGAACAUUUCUUCUCCCCCUCAUUAUGCCUGUGUUAGAAAGUGACUUGCAUGAUUUACAGAUAUUAUUAACAAGAAGACUAUUAAGAACCAAAGUAAAAGAAACCAUGACCACCAAUCACAAGUUUACUAUUACCAAUCAAUUCUUCAAAUACCUAUCAGAAUCUUUCUAGAGGCAAAAAAGAACAUCUAUAAUUCUGUCCCAGGUCCCGUGGAGAACCCUGGAUUCCUUCUUUCUAUCAUUAUCUAUCUUGAUUAUGAUUGUAAAGAAAUGCUAUAAUAUUUAAUAAAUUGUUGAUUACAAA